RNAcentral lists this ribosomal RNA (524 nucleotides) under Escherichia coli. Its description in RNAcentral is "bacterial SSU rRNA". It matches the Rfam family "Bacterial small subunit ribosomal RNA", at positions 1019 to 1533 of the family's 1533-position model. Lineage: Bacteria; Pseudomonadati; Pseudomonadota; Gammaproteobacteria; Enterobacterales; Enterobacteriaceae. The record is from RNAcentral.
UUCGGGAACCGUGAGACAGGUGCUGCAUGGCUGUCGUCAGCUCGUGUUGUGAAAUGUUGGGUUAAGUCCCGCAACGAGCGCAACCCUUAUCCUUUGUUGCCAGCGGUCCGGCCGGGAACUCAAAGGAGACUGCCAGUGAUAAACUGGAGGAAGGUGGGGAUGACGUCAAGUCAUCAUGGCCCUUACGACCAGGGCUACACACGUGCUACAAUGGCGCAUACAAAGAGAAGCGACCUCGCGAGAGCAAGCGGACCUCAUAAAGUGCGUCGUAGUCCGGAUUGGAGUCUGCAACUCGACUCCAUGAAGUCGGAAUCGCUAGUAAUCGUGGAUCAGAAUGCCACGGUGAAUACGUUCCCGGGCCUUGUACACACCGCCCGUCACACCAUGGGAGUGGGUUGCAAAAGAAGUAGGUAGCUUAACCUUCGGGAGGGCGCUUACCACUUUGUGAUUCAUGACUGGGGUGAAGUCGUAACAAGGUAACCGUAGGGGAACCUGCGGUUGGAUCACCUCCUUACCUUAAAGAA